This 398-nucleotide ribosomal RNA is filed under the name uncultured bacterium. Its description in RNAcentral is "partial 16S ribosomal RNA". It matches the Rfam family "Bacterial small subunit ribosomal RNA", at positions 338 to 733 of the family's 1533-position model. The record is from RNAcentral.
CCUACGGGUGGCAGCAGUGAGGAAUAUUGGUCAAUGGGCGCGAGCCUGAACCAGCCAAGUCGCGUGAAGGAAGACGGCCCUACGGGUUGUAAACUUCUUUUAUAGGGGAAUAAAGUGAGCCACGUGUGGCUUUUUGCAUGUACUUUAUGAAUAAGGAUCGGCUAACUACGUUCCAGCAGCCGCGGUAAUUAGGAGGAUCCGAGCGUUAUCCGGAUUUCUUGGGUUUAAAGGGAGCGUAGGGGGGUUUUUAAGUCAGUUGGUAAAGUUUGAGGAUCAACCGUAAAAUUGCAAUUGAUACUGGCAGUCUUGAGUGUAGGUGAGGGAGGCGGAAUUCGUGGUGUAGCGGUGAAAUGCGUAGAUAACACGAAGAAACCCGAUGGCGAAGGCAGCUUAACAAA